This is a long non-coding RNA of Planococcus citri (citrus mealybug), 3359 nucleotides long. RefSeq lists it as uncharacterized. The record is from RefSeq and is a predicted model, not a curated record. The transcript has 2 exons. NCBI's taxonomy places the organism in Eukaryota, Metazoa, Arthropoda, Insecta, Hemiptera, Pseudococcidae.
UCUGACAAUACCUAUCAAGAACUUGGCAGAAUUUUUUGAAAACAUUGAAUUCAACAUCUGACAUGACUUGACACUUGAAUAACCUGCUAACUUGGGAAUCUCUUGAACUUGAAAAUUUUUGCCUUCGAUUUAAAUAGGACCACGAUUUUUGGAAAGAACAUGAUCUGAAAUCUCUUUGACCAAAAUUUCAGCUGUGUAAAUUGAUUUUUCAAUUUUUGACAAAUUAUUUAAAAUUCAAAAUUGACCAUUUUCAACUAUUGGAAUGCUGUAAAAAAAAAAUGCAUAGGUAGGUGCCUAUGUACUUAAAUUUAUUCGAUAAACAUGAUGUAAAUUAAUUCUGAAACCAAUAUCAACUCCUCGAAUCGAAUUUUACAAUUUCUGGGCAUUCUGUAGUCCCUCUCUCGUAGUUGUCAAUGUAUACAGCAUUUUUUAAAGUGCUGCAGAAAACGUGGAAGUAUAUUUGGGCAGUUGGAAAUCGAGCUGUGUGGUGGUUUAUUCUCUAUUCGUUUAAAGUAUUUAUCAACAUCUCGAAGGUUUUCCCUGGAAACUGGAAAGAGAUCUCUGGCUUCAUGCGGUUUCAUUUCGGAGGUUUCCUCCCGUCCUCCGGCAUGAAUGAUGAAACCUUGUGCCGGCUGGCCGACUCAGAAAAUCCAUUAGCAAUGUCUGUCUUUGAUAUCGAAAUUAAAAAUCGUCUAUCUGAUUGGCGAAUAGUUGCGCAAUAAAUAUGCGAGGACGAUGUGGAAAUGUAUUGUAUAGGUAGGUAAGCGAUAAGCCAGAAUUCGAAUUGUCUUGUACGAGUGUCGAGUAUAUUCGUUGCUUACUGUGCGUUCGUGAUCUUCUGUAUGUUAUCUGCUACCUACAUCUGCUUCUGAAAAUGGUUUGAUAACGUGAUAGCUACUAGCUAGCUAGGCAUUGUGCGUUCAGUUUUCAAUUUCCAAGCGUUGCUGUGCUGUACUUAUUGAUUAUUCAUUGUUGUGUAUUUAAAAAAUUCAGUUUUUCGAUCAAAUUCCUGCCCAAACCUUAUUCGAAGCGGUAAAAAAGAAAUACAUUAGGUAAAAGGUUUUCGAAACGUCUCCGUAAAAGCUGGCGAAGUAGACAUGUCGAGCGAUACUCUUGUGACGAAAUGUGAAAGAAAAAGAAUCGCUAAAAACUGCUGUUACACGAAGUUGCAUAAGAAGAAAUGCUGUUUCUCGUGGACAAUCGAUCGUUAUUCGAGUCUCGUCCAAAAAAAACACGAAACGAUCAAAUCAUCGCAGUUUACAGCCGUCGGCGAUGAUUUAAAAUGGUAUUCAGAUCACCGUGUUUAUUUGAAGUAUGAAUUUCGACUAUUUCGAAUUUUUGUUCUAUACUUACCUUACCUAUACCAUCUAUGUAUUAGUUUACUUCCUCCCUGAAUUCGAUUGACUGUAUUAUAGUAGGUAUUAAUCCAAUAGUUGUGAAAUUAAGUGAAUUAAUUAACGAUCAUGGUUAAACAAAAAAUGAGCCAUUUUUUCGUUUAUUUUCUUACUUUGUCAAUUAUUGAAUAAAAAAAACUUAUAAUCUCAGAAAGAAAUUUAUGACCAAUUCUAAAUAUUAUAGGCUAUACCUACCUAUUUAUACGCUAUUAUACCCUUUUAUCAUCUUACACGUAAGAUAUGUAAUAGACUGGCAAAAUUGAUACAUAACACGACAUUUGAAAAAUUUUGAAUGCUUGUUCCAGUGGAUGUAGUUGGUAUGCUUCGUUCAACUUACGAGUAUAUUUUGAUUGCGACGAAAAUGUUGAAACGUACGGUAUUAUUACUGGAAGUGCUGAAAUCUCUUUCAUGAAGCCUGAUGGUCAGAAAAUUAAAACCCAAAAUGCUGGUAUUACUGACAUUACCCCUAUGAAAAAUCCACAGAGGAUUUUGAAUUUUGAUAUGAGUGUUGAGAAGAUGAAGGAAUGUACGUUUCAAGAUGAAGUGACGAUCUUUUGCUGCGUGAGCUACUGGAAAGCAAAUGACAUCGUCACCACUUCAUCACCGGAUCCAAAUCUUUUCGAAAUUUCGGAAUCCAGCAUCUCGCAAGACUUCGAACGAUGUUACCUGGACGACUACUUCAGUGACGUGACAGUCUCGGUCAAAGGUAAAAAUUACCCAGCUCAUAAGAUCAUUUUGGCUACUCGCAGUUCGGUUUUCAACACAAUGUUCAGAAAUAAAAUGCAAGAAAGCCGGAAUAACCACAUCGUAAUCACAGAUAUCGAGCAAGAGCCCUUCGAAGAAAUGUUGCACUACAUUUAUACCGGAAAAACAAAGAAUUUAGACGAGUUGUAACAGACAUGACGAUACAAAAAGUAGAAAUCGUCAUUAGAUAAAUUCAUUUAUAAAGAAAACAUGAAAAGUACAUGAAACAAAUAGAUAUUAUAUAAAUUUUGCGAAUUCGCGUACAUAAAAAAAUUAUAAGAAAAAGUACAUGGACGAACCAACGAAUUGAAAAAGAAUGGAAAAAAAAAGACAAACUUUUAGCGAGUACAUAAACAAAAAUCAAAAAACCGAGCGCGGCCAAAUAUUAUUGAGAAAAUUCGCGAAUGCCUCGAAAAAUUGGAAAAUUUAUCGGAUAAGUUUGGAAUCACAAUUUUGGCCGUUGCAUAUGCCCCCUGGCUAAUUCAAAUUUCUCAAAGCAAGCUUGGAGAAAAUUGAAUUGAACAUAGAUGAAAAUAACAAAAUUGUGAAAUAAUAAUAAACAAUCAAAAAUUACCUAAAUUAAUUUUAUCGCGUUGUAAAUUAAACAAAACAAUAAAUUAAAAAAAAAAACAAAAAAUAUAUAGGACAAUAAUUAAGUAUGAGGAAAAAGAGACAAAAAUUGGGAGACAUCAUGGAAAAAUAAAAAAAUAGGAGAAGAGAGUGACACCAACGUGAGACUUGCGUAGGUGGAAAACAACAAGCCUGCACCAUGGUCUGUCACCUUCUCUGGAAUGUAAGGCUUGGACAAAAGUCCCUCACCCCAUUCCAGAGAGUAGGAAAGGAAAACAAAGGAAAACAAAAAGAUAAGUAGGAAAAAAUAGGAAGAAAAACUGGAAAGUUGGAAAAUUUGAUCACAAAGAUGUGCAUAGAAAUGCCACUAAAUCAGAAAAAAUUUAUCAUUUUCAUUUCGAGAAUAAAAAUUAAUUGAUCAGAAAAAUCAAUAUCUUCGAGCAGUUUGAGCGAAUAAAUUUACAGAGGAAAGCGAACCAUAAAGAUCUAAAAAACGUUUUUUCCUUUUGCGUUUCAGGGAAAUCAAAAUAAAUUUCAAAAUCAAUUGAUCAUCGAACAUUUUAUUAUAUCCACAAAAAUUAUGAUCCUGCAAAGGUUUUACAAAAGAUACAGACUUGCCCCCUGCAUGAGAAAAUGCAGUAAAAUAAGAGA